Xenopus laevis (African clawed frog) is the source of this 186-nucleotide non-coding RNA. The record is from Rfam. Lineage: Eukaryota; Metazoa; Chordata; Amphibia; Anura; Pipidae.
CUGUCUGAAACAAAAGACCCACUGAGAGUUCAACCACACCUUAAGAAAUGCUUUGAGGGUAUUGCAAAGCUGACUUUUAAUGCAAAGAAAGAGAUAACACAUACAGAGUCUGCAGAAAAUGAAAAAGUAGAGCUUGUGCUGAAAAUAAUGCCGUGGAAAGUCUUGUUGAAAAAUGUCUACAUGAGG